RNAcentral lists this ribosomal RNA (253 nucleotides) under uncultured prokaryote. RNAcentral's name for it is "partial 16S ribosomal RNA". It matches the Rfam family "Bacterial small subunit ribosomal RNA", at positions 524 to 776 of the family's 1533-position model. The record is from RNAcentral.
UACGGAGGGGGCUAGCGUUGUUCGGAAUUACUGGGCGUAAAGCGCACGUAGGCGGCUUUGUAAGUUAGAGGUGAAAGCCUAGGGCUCAACCCUGGAAUUGCCUUUAAGACUGCAUCGCUAGAAUUGUGGAGAGGUAAGUGGAAUUCCGAGUGUAGAGGUGAAAUUCGUAGAUAUUCGGAAGAACACCAGUGGCGAAGGCGGCUUGCUAGCUUGUAACUGACGCUGAGGCGCGAAAGCUAGGGGAGCAAACAGG